RNAcentral lists this small nuclear RNA (103 nucleotides) under Phocoena sinus (vaquita). Lineage: Eukaryota; Metazoa; Chordata; Mammalia; Artiodactyla; Phocoenidae. The record is from RNAcentral.
UUGCUUUAGCAGCACAUAUACUAAAGUUGGAAUGAUACAGAGAAGAUUAGCAUGGCCCCUGAACAAGGAUGACAAGCAAAUUCGUAAAGCAUUCCGUAUUUUU